UUGAAAAUAAAAAAUUAUGUGUAAACAAUGAACGAGAUCAAAUUCAAAUAAAUUAUUACAUGAAGAACGUGCAUUAAUCACAUCCUCACGAUUCUAAAACUACAUUCGCAACAUUUAGCGUAUUCAUCCAGGAAAGAGCCUCUCUUAUGGCGAGCAACUCAGCCAUUCGAACCUCCCACAUAGUGUUUAUCGUUACUGAGCAUCCUCUAAAACACGUGCUAUUAUGAUCCCAGAUAUUAGCUGAAAAAGAAGAACAUCCCAACCGAAAAGAAGAUGCAGCGCCCACAUUACACUUGAACAGAUCAACAACCAGCUUCUCCCAAUCAACCCGGCUAUUAACGAAACUCAUUGAAAAUCGCUGCACCCUGGUAAACACAGCCCGAGCAUCCUUCCAUUCAGUCAAAAACCGAUCCGCUUUGGCAACUAUCUCAGCAGCAAACACAUCUGUUUGUUUCCAAACAAUCAAAUUUCGAUGAAACCAUAGACACCAAGCAAUAGUUAAAAUCCUGCAACAUUGAC
This 519-nucleotide long non-coding RNA is filed under the name Gossypium barbadense (sea-island cotton). Its description in RNAcentral is "long non-coding RNA (GBAR_LNC020645)". Lineage: Eukaryota; Viridiplantae; Streptophyta; Magnoliopsida; Malvales; Malvaceae. The record is from RNAcentral.